UACGUAGGGUGCGAGCGUUGUCCGGAAUUAUUGGGCGUAAAGAGCUUGUAGGCGGUUUGUCGCGUCUGCCGUGAAAAUCCGAGGCUCAACCUCGGACUUGCGGUGGGUACGGGCAGACUAGAGUGUGGUAGGGGAGACUGGAAUUCCUGGUGUAGCAGUGAAAUGCGCAGAUAUCAGGAGGAACACCGAUGGCGAAGGCACUCUACUGGGCUAUUACUGACACUCAGAGACGAAAGCUAGGGGAGCAAAUGGG
This 253-nucleotide ribosomal RNA is filed under the name uncultured bacterium. RNAcentral describes it as "partial 16S ribosomal RNA". It matches the Rfam family "Bacterial small subunit ribosomal RNA", at positions 524 to 776 of the family's 1533-position model. The record is from RNAcentral.